RNAcentral lists this ribosomal RNA (468 nucleotides) under uncultured bacterium. RNAcentral describes it as "partial 16S ribosomal RNA". It matches the Rfam family "Bacterial small subunit ribosomal RNA", at positions 28 to 507 of the family's 1533-position model. The record is from RNAcentral.
GACGAACGCUGGCGGCGUGCUUAACACAUGCAAGUCGAACGGAAAGGCCCUGCUUUUGUGGGGUGCUCGAGUGGCGAACGGGUGAGUAACACGUGAGUAACCUGCCCUUGACUUUGGGAUAACUUCAGGAAACUGGGGCUAAUACCGGAUAGGAGCUCCUGCUGCAUGGUGGGGGUUGGAAAGUUUCGGCGGUUGGGGAUGGACUCGCGGCUUAUCAGCUUGUUGGGGGGGUAGUGGCUUACCAAGGCUUUGACGGGUAGCCGGCCCGAGAGGGUGAACGGGCACAUUGGGACUGAGGGACGGCGCAGACGCGUACGGGAGGCAGCAGGGGGAAAUAUUGCGCAAUGGGCGGAAGUCUGAGGCGACAACGCCGCGUGCGGGAUGACGGCCUACGGGUGGUAAACCGCUGUCGCCUGUGACGAAGCGGGAGUGACGGUAAUGGGUAAAGAAGCACCGGCUAACUACGUG